This 490-nucleotide ribosomal RNA is filed under the name uncultured bacterium. RNAcentral describes it as "partial 16S ribosomal RNA". It matches the Rfam family "Bacterial small subunit ribosomal RNA", at positions 30 to 507 of the family's 1533-position model. The record is from RNAcentral.
AUUGAGCGCUGGCGGCAGGCCUAACACAUGCAAGUCGAACGGUAACAGGAAGCAGCUUGCUGCUUCGCUGACGAGUGGCGGACGGGUGAGUAAUGUCUGGGAAGCUGCCUGAUGGAGGGGGAUAACUACUGGAAACGGUAGCUAAUACCGCAUAAUGUCGCAAGACCAAAGAGGGGGACCUUCGGGUCUCUUGCCAUCGGAUGUGCCCAGAUGGGAUUAGCUUGUUGGUGGGGUAACGGCUCACCAAGGCGACGAUCCCUAGCUGGUCUGAGAGGAUGACCAGCCACACUGGAACUGAGACACGGUCCAGACUCCUACGGGAGGCAGCAGUGGGGAAUAUUGCACAAUGGGCGCAAGCCUGAUGCAGCCAUGCCGCGUGUAUGAAGAAGGCCUUCGGGUUGUAAAGUACUUUCAGCGGGGAGGAAGGGAGUAAAGUUAAUACCUUUGCUCAUUGACGUUACCCGCAGAAGAAGCACCGGCUAACUCCGUG